Podarcis lilfordi (Lilford's wall lizard) is the source of this 1109-nucleotide non-coding RNA. The record is from the annotation of a GenBank genome assembly. NCBI's taxonomy places the organism in Eukaryota, Metazoa, Chordata, Lepidosauria, Squamata, Lacertidae.
CAGGUCGACCUACUGCACGGCCCACCCAUGAGGCAAGGUGAGGCAACUGCCUCAGGCAGCAGGAUCCAGAGACAGCAGUCCCAAAGAAGAUCUUUAUUUCCCCCUUGUUACUGAUGUAGAUCUUCACUCACACCUUCAUCCCUGGUGGGGAGAGGGGGCGCCAUUUUGUGGUUCGCUUCAGGGGCCAAAAUGUCUUGGGCUGGCCCUGGCAUGGGGAUAUGGUGAGGGUAAAACUAUGCAUAUUACAGUUCCAUAAAAGAAGGGCAGGAUAGCAAUGUAAUAGUUGGGAAAGAUCUCUCACCCUAAGAUUUUCUGUCCCUUUCUGCGGUACAGGAAUGAGAUGUGUGUUUGCUUGUUUGUGUCUUCCUUUGAGGCUGAAAAGACUCCCACAGCCGCUUACGUAAGAUCAAUGAAAAACUAGGCAGCACCUACCCUCAAGCUUCCAAUGUGAAAGACAGCACAAAAAGAAAAAGAGAUGAGGAUGGAGAAGAAAAACAGCUGCAAGCAGGAACCCUAACCUCACUUGCCUCACUUGAAUUUAUUAGGACUUACUUCCUCUUAGACAAAUUUAAGAUGCUGGAGGUGGGGGAACCACACCCUUAAACAGUCCCUCAUGGGAAGAUACCCCUCCAGACAGAAAGGUAGCAAAAUGAAGCCAUUUCCUCUCUGAGAUGCUAAAAAAUGACGUUUCAUCCAGUGUUGGGUGAAGGAAAAUAUUCAAAUAUAUAACUUCAGCCAGCAGCUGAAGUGAUAGAAACUCACAAAGUUUUACUACUUAUUUCUGCUUAUUGUAUCUACUACUGUGACUGCUACACAGUCAUUGUUGUUGUUGUUCCUUGUAGGAGCUGCUUGUACACAAGGUACUAACAUCCAUAUCUGCCGCUACUGUGAAGAGGUUUGGUUCCCUCGUAAGGAAUUUCCUCAUCGCAGAAGGUUCCUUCUUGUUACCAUAGAAGGUAGUAAAGAGGUCGAGGGAGAACUGCAUCCGUCUCACAGUGGCCAGAGGCGAAGGCAGUAGGUUUUUGCGAGCCUUUGAUGUGCGCAUAAAGCUGUAACCUUGCCUUUUUACAGCUGUGGCAGGGAGUCACUGCAAAGAAAACACACACCAC